UACGGGAGAUGCGAGCGUUAUCCGGAAUCACUGGGCGUAAAGCGUCUGUAGGUGGUUUGUUAAGUCUGUUGUUAAAAACUGAAGCUCAACUUCAGAGGUGCGGCAGAAACUGGCAAACUUGAGUAUGUUAGGGGUAGGAGGAAUUUCUAGUGUAGCGGUGAAAUGCGUAGAUAUUGGAAAGAACACCAACAGCGAAGGCACUUUACUGGGCCAGUACUGACACUCAGAGACGAAAGCUAGGGGAGCAAACAGG
Molecule: ribosomal RNA, 253 nt
Filed under: uncultured bacterium
Lineage: Bacteria
Description: partial 16S ribosomal RNA
Rfam family: Bacterial small subunit ribosomal RNA
Source: RNAcentral